This 24-nucleotide microRNA is filed under the name Rosa chinensis. RNAcentral's name for it is "sRNA RchiOBHm_Chr5g0076655". The record is from RNAcentral. Lineage: Eukaryota; Viridiplantae; Streptophyta; Magnoliopsida; Rosales; Rosaceae.
AGCCAACUUGUAGUACUCCACAUU